This 1188-nucleotide long non-coding RNA is filed under the name Sorghum bicolor (sorghum). RNAcentral describes it as "long non-coding RNA (SBIC_LNC017413)". Lineage: Eukaryota; Viridiplantae; Streptophyta; Magnoliopsida; Poales; Poaceae. The record is from RNAcentral.
UCUGUUAUUUAUUAUUUUAUUUUAAUAUAAAAUUAGGGAAAAAGAGAAACCAGGAAGGGGAAUCAGGAUAACGUCUUUCACGAGAAUUUAAUCUCAAGGACGGUUUUUUUUCUUUUUUUUUUGCGGAAAUCAUUCCCACGGAGAAUUACGGACGCCAAAUUAUUUUUUCUGGGAAUCAAUGCCGAAACCGAGCUAACAAUAAAAAAGAGGAAAUUUUUCUUUGGUUUGAUAGAGUUUGAUUUGGAGAAGUCUGAUCUGGGAGAGGAUUCUAUUCUUUGUGUUUGUCUUGUGUCCGAUCUAUAUCUUUAUAAGUAGCCAGACAAAAAAAAAACUCCAGACCAAAAAAAUAGUAGAAAUUUUGCCUCUUUAUGAUUAGGUAUAAAUAUAGAUUAUUAAGAUUAUCGAGGUAGCAACCCCGGAUAGUAAUUCGGGGUAGCAACCAAUUAAGGUCAUGAGAUAACAAUCCCAAUUAAGAACACAUGAUAAUCCUGCCAAACAUGAGGUAGCCACCUCAACCAAGUAUCCUUCUUCAAGUUCCAUGUGAGUCCAAUUUCUCACUGUGUGACUGAUAUAUUAGUUUGAUUAAACUAUGUAGAGGUUGUACACUUUCACUUCAAGUUAUGAUUCUCAUUUACCUAGGGUCAUGACUCUUCCAAAACACUACCAAGGUGAGCAGACAGGGCUUCACUAUGAGACUAUGAGACUUUUCACAGGUUCUAGCUAAAAGAGUGCAACUCGUGAGUUUUAGCCGGUGAGCGCCACAGCCGUGCCCAUAGCAAUGGAACUCCAAACUAAACAACCUGUUAACAUGAAUACCCAAGCUACUUCCAUACGCCUACCUAGAAAGUUACACCCUACUAGUAGAGGUCCUGAUACUACGUCAAGCUAGAGCCAUAUCGUUUGAAGGUGUACUAUAUAUUCCAGGUGGUAAUAGAUGAGUAGAGCAUCUACGCAUAUCUACUGUGCACUAUACUAGGCAUGUAUAAACCCAAGAGUACAAGGAAUAUAGAAAAGGGCUAGUCGGGUCCUUAGGGUUGCAGUAUUAAGACACAUGCAUUGCAAAGUAAAUGUGAUUAAAUUUUAUAGGUACAAUAUGAUCAAAGGGUGCCUGCACUUGCCUUUAGUCCCAGUGUACAACUGCUCAAAAUUCUUUGGCUUCUAUCUUCUGAUCUCCGUCUUGUCACACCC